GGUGUAGGUCUGUGGCAGAACGCUUGCCUGGUAGGUAUGAGGUCCUGGGUUCAAGCCCCAGCACC
RNAcentral lists this transfer RNA (65 nucleotides) under Ictidomys tridecemlineatus (thirteen-lined ground squirrel). RNAcentral's name for it is "Spermophilus tridecemlineatus (thirteen-lined ground squirrel) tRNA". It matches the Rfam family "tRNA". From Rfam's summary of the family: Transfer RNA (tRNA) molecules are approximately 80 nucleotides in length. Their secondary structure includes four short double-helical elements and three loops (D, anti-codon, and T loops). The record is from Rfam by way of RNAcentral. Lineage: Eukaryota; Metazoa; Chordata; Mammalia; Rodentia; Sciuridae.